GACGAACGCUGGCGGCGUGCUUAACACAUGCAAGUCGAACGGUAAGGCCCUUCGGGGUACACGAGUGGCGAACGGGAGAGUAACACGUGGGUGAUCUGCCCUGCACUUCGGGAUAAGCCUGGGAAACUGGGUCUAAUACCGGAUAGGACUCCGGACUGCAUGGUCUGGGGUGGAAAGCUUUUGCGGUGUGGAUGGGCCCGCGGCCUAUCAGCUUGUUGGUGGGGGGAUGGCCUACCAAGGCGACGACGGGUAGCCGGCCUGAGAGGGUGACCGGCCACACUGGGACUGAGAUACGGCCCAGACUCCUACGGGAGGCAGCAGUGGGGAAUAUUGCACAAUGGGCGCAAGCCUGAUGCAGCGACGCCGCGUGAGGGAUGACGGCCUUCGGGUUGUAAACCUCUUUCAGCAUCGACGAAGCGAAAGUGACGGUAGGUGCAGAAGAAGGACCGGCCAACUACGUGCCAGCAGCCGCCGUAA
This 477-nucleotide ribosomal RNA is filed under the name uncultured bacterium. RNAcentral describes it as "partial 16S ribosomal RNA". It matches the Rfam family "Bacterial small subunit ribosomal RNA", at positions 28 to 523 of the family's 1533-position model. The record is from RNAcentral.